GCAGUGGUGGUUCAGUAUUAGAAUUCUUGUCUUCCACACAGGAGACCUGGUGCUAUUCCCAGUCAGUGUA
RNAcentral lists this transfer RNA (70 nucleotides) under Loxodonta africana (African savanna elephant). It matches the Rfam family "tRNA". From Rfam's summary of the family: Transfer RNA (tRNA) molecules are approximately 80 nucleotides in length. Their secondary structure includes four short double-helical elements and three loops (D, anti-codon, and T loops). Lineage: Eukaryota; Metazoa; Chordata; Mammalia; Proboscidea; Elephantidae. The record is from Rfam by way of RNAcentral.